CAGCCGCCACGGGAAUACGGAGGGUGCAAGCGUUAUCCGGAUUUAUUGGGUUUAAAGGGUCCGUAGGCGGACUUAUAAGUCAGUGGUGAAAGCCUGUUGCUUAACGAUAGAACUGCCAUUGAUACUGUAAGUCUUGAGUAUAUUUGAGGUAGCUGGAAUAAGUAGUGUAGCGGUGAAAUGCAUAGAUAUUACUUAGAACACCAAUUGCGAAGGCAGGUUACCAAGAUAUAACUGACGCUGAGGGACGAAAGCGUGGGUAGCGAACAGGAUUAGAUACCCCCGUAGUCCCUGUCUCUUAUAC
This 301-nucleotide ribosomal RNA is filed under the name uncultured bacterium. RNAcentral's name for it is "partial 16S ribosomal RNA". It matches the Rfam family "Bacterial small subunit ribosomal RNA", at positions 509 to 807 of the family's 1533-position model. The record is from RNAcentral.